This 361-nucleotide ribosomal RNA is filed under the name uncultured fungus. RNAcentral describes it as "SSU rRNA". It matches the Rfam family "Eukaryotic small subunit ribosomal RNA", at positions 1 to 376 of the family's 1831-position model. Lineage: Eukaryota; Fungi. The record is from RNAcentral.
UUGCCCUUGUAGUCAUAUGCUUGUCUCAAAGAUUAAGCCAUGCAUGUCUAAGUAUAAGCAAUUUAUACGGUGAAACUGCGAAUGGCUCAUUAAAUCAGUUAUCGUUUAUUUGAUAGUACCUUACUACAUGGAUACCUGUGGUAAUUCCAGAGCUAAUACAUGCUAAAAACCUCGACUUCGGGAGGGGUGUAUUUAUUAGAUAAAAAACCAAUGCCCUUCGGGGCUCCUUGGUGAAUCAUAAUAACUUAACGAAUCGCAUGGCCUUGCGCCGGCGAUGGUUCAUUCAAAUUUCUGCCCUAUCAACUUUCGAUGGUAGGAUAGUGGCCUACCAUGGUGGCAACGGGUAACGGGGAAUAAGGGC